Long non-coding RNA from Solanum lycopersicum (tomato), 1210 nucleotides. RefSeq lists it as uncharacterized. NCBI's taxonomy places the organism in Eukaryota, Viridiplantae, Streptophyta, Magnoliopsida, Solanales, Solanaceae. The record is from RefSeq and is a predicted model, not a curated record.
CAAUUCUUUUUCUGCCAAAAGGAAAUUACUCCCAGCCUAAUUCUGCCCAUAUGAUCCGACCCCAUCAUCUCUUCUCCAUUUUCCAUUCUUCUUCACGCGUAGCUCAGGUACGAAGAAACCCAGAAACUCGACCCGACUCGCUCUCCAGCACGCAAACCGGAAUCUACUCCAGCAUUGUGUCUCUCUUCCACCCUUAUCCUCUUCUCCGUACAAAGCCGUUUGGAGGAUAGCCAGGUGUCUCAAUCUUGUGUUUCAUCCGUCCUUGCUCCUCAUAUCGAACGAAUCUCCUUGAUAUUCUAUUGGAGAGUCGUACUUUUUCCAGCUUUCAACUUUAUCCCCUUCAGCAAAUUCAAAUUUCAAAUUGGAAUUCACCAAUUGCUUCACUCAUCCCCCCCCCCCCCCCAAAACCCCCCCCAAAAAAAAACUAAAAAUCUCCUAUAAAUACUGCUCUUCUUCGCUGAUUAAGGAGAGGAAGAAUUCGGUUUUAAAAAUACAUCAACAAGAAAGAAUACAAACAAAAAAAUCCAAUAGAUAAAAUAUAGGAGAUAUAUAUUCUUUUGUUCACUGCUUAUAAAGCUGGUCGGAGCCUUUUGUGGUGGUGGAAGCUCUUCUGUGGUCAUCUGCCUCAGUCCGCUGCCUCGAGAAAGACUCUUAUCACUUCUUCUUGCAUCUCGAGUUCGUUCAAAAUCCGAUUCUCGUCUUGAGUCUACCCCCUCGACAAGCUCCAAAACUGAUAGGCAGGUUGAGGUCAAUAAAUGUAGGCUGGAAAUUAAUUUUGCAGGUCUCAAAAGGCCCAAAAGAGGGCAGUAUACAUGAAGUAUACCGUUGUAUACACAAGUAUACACGAAAAGAAUCGUUAUAUACAGGUCUGAACUGAUAAAACAGAUGAUGGAAGUCUGAAAUGGGCAGCAUACACUCAGCAUACAUCCUAAUACACGGAAAUGAGUCUAAAUACGUAUUGUAUACACCCAUAUACAUUUGAUGUAUACACAGAUUUAAGCAUGGGGAAGGAAGGAACAUAGGGCUAGAAGUCCAAAAAUUCCAGCAAGCCAACAUGCCCAAAAUGUGGCAAGAUCAAUUUUUGGGUCACUUUAAAUUUAGGACAUGUUUUAAUAUUUGAGUAUUAUAUAUAUAUAUAAUACUCUCUUCCUUUUAACUUAUUUUUUUGUAUUAUUUUGACUAGCUUGUCUUAUUCUAUGGUUUAAUUUAA